RNAcentral lists this ribosomal RNA (736 nucleotides) under Bacillus sp. BJV89. RNAcentral's name for it is "bacterial SSU rRNA". It matches the Rfam family "Bacterial small subunit ribosomal RNA", at positions 396 to 1122 of the family's 1533-position model. The record is from RNAcentral. Lineage: Bacteria; Bacillati; Bacillota; Bacilli; Caryophanales; Bacillaceae.
GCCGCGUGAGUGAUGAAGGUUUUCGGAUCGUAAAGCUCUGUUGUUAGGGAAGAACAAGUACCGUUCGAAUAGGGCGGUACCUUGACGGUACCUAACCAGAAAGCCACGGCUAACUACGUGCCAGCAGCCGCGGUAAUACGUAGGUGGCAAGCGUUGUCCGGAAUUAUUGGGCGUAAAGGGCUCGCAGGCGGUUUCUUAAGUCUGAUGUGAAAGCCCCCGGCUCAACCGGGGAGGGUCAUUGGAAACUGGGGAACUUGAGUGCAGAAGAGGAGAGUGGAAUUCCACGUGUAGCGGUGAAAUGCGUAGAGAUGUGGAGGAACACCAGUGGCGAAGGCGACUCUCUGGUCUGUAACUGACGCUGAGGAGCGAAAGCGUGGGGAGCGAACAGGAUUAGAUACCCUGGUAGUCCACGCCGUAAACGAUGAGUGCUAAGUGUUAGGGGGUUUCCGCCCCUUAGUGCUGCAGCUAACGCAUUAAGCACUCCGCCUGGGGAGUACGGUCGCAAGACUGAAACUCAAAGGAAUUGACGGGGGCCCGCACAAGCGGUGGAGCAUGUGGUUUAAUUCGAAGCAACGCGAAGAACCUUACCAGGUCUUGACAUCCUCUGACAAUCCUAGAGAUAGGACGUCCCCUUCGGGGGCAGAGUGACAGGUGGUGCAUGGUUGUCGUCAGCUCGUGUCGUGAGAUGUUGGGUUAAGUCCCGCAACGAGCGCAACCCUUGAUCUUAGUUGCCAGC